Molecule: ribosomal RNA, 468 nt
Filed under: uncultured bacterium
Lineage: Bacteria
Description: partial 16S ribosomal RNA
Rfam family: Bacterial small subunit ribosomal RNA
Source: RNAcentral
GACGAACGCUGGCGGCGUGCUUAACACAUGCAAGUCGAACGGAAAGGCCCUGCGCUUGCUGCGCUCUCGUGAGGCGAACGGGUGAGUAACACGUGAGUAUCCUGCCCUUGUCUGUGGGAGAACUUCAGGAAACUGCGGCUAAUACAGCAUAGGAUCUCUUGCUGCAUGGUGUUGGUUAGAAAGUUUCGGCGGUUGGGGAUGGUCUGGCUGCUUAUCAGCUUGUUGGGCGGGUAGUGGCUUACCAAGGCUGUGACGGCUAGCCUGCCUGAGAGGCGGACCGGCGUCAAGGGGCCUGAGAUAGGGACCAGACUCCUACGGGAGGCAGCAGUGGGGAGUCUUGCAGAAUGGGCGGACGCGUGAUGCAGCAACGCCGGGUGCGGGAUGCCGGCCUUCGGGUUGUAAACCGAUUUGGCAGGUGACGAAGCGUGAGUGACGGUAAUGGGUAAAGAAGCACCGGCUAACUACGUG